GGGGAUGUGGCUCAAGUGGUAGUGCGCUCGCCUCGCAUGCGAGUGGCCUGGGUUCGAUCCUCAGCACCA
Ictidomys tridecemlineatus (thirteen-lined ground squirrel) is the source of this 69-nucleotide non-coding RNA. Lineage: Eukaryota; Metazoa; Chordata; Mammalia; Rodentia; Sciuridae. The record is from Rfam.